GAUGAAGAACGUAGCGAAAUGCGAUAAGUAAUGUGAAUUGCAGAAUUCAGUGAAUCAUCGAAUCUUUGAACGCACAUUGCGCCCCCCGGCAUUCUGGGGAGCAUGCCUGUUCGAGCGUCUCUUGGAAUACCCCUCACGCCGGCGGAGGCGUGGUCAUGGCGGCGGUGGCGUGCCCCGAGAGGGAGGCCACCGCGCUGGAAUCCAUGGGCGGACGCCUGCCGCGUGGCCGAGCGUGAUAAGACGCACUGGCGCUCGCGCGCGGCGAGGCUGCCGGCCCUGGCCCGCUCGUCGGGCGGGGACAGCAACACUUGGGAACUCCUCGAAUCAGGUAGGGAUACCCGCUGAACUUAAGCAUAUCAAUAAGCGGAGGA
RNAcentral lists this unclassified non-coding RNA (371 nucleotides) under soil metagenome. RNAcentral describes it as "partial contains 5.8S ribosomal RNA, internal transcribed spacer 2, and large subunit ribosomal RNA". The stretch from base 1 to 120 matches the Rfam family "5.8S ribosomal RNA", at positions 35 to 154 of the family's 154-position model. The record is from RNAcentral.